AGGACGAACGCUGGCGGCGUGCUUAACACAUGCAAGUCGAGCGGAAAGGCCCUUCGGGGUACUCGAGCGGCGAACGGGUGAGUAACACGUGAGCAAUCUGCCCUUAGCUUCGGGAUAGCUCCGGGAAAACCGGAAUUAAUACCGGAUAUGACUAUGGCUGACAUCAGCCACGGUGGAAAGUUUUUCGGCUAGGGAUGAGCUCGCGGCCUAUCAGCUAGUUGGUGGGGUAACGGCCUACCAAGGCGACGACGGGUA
RNAcentral lists this ribosomal RNA (255 nucleotides) under uncultured bacterium. Its description in RNAcentral is "partial small subunit ribosomal RNA". It matches the Rfam family "Bacterial small subunit ribosomal RNA", at positions 26 to 285 of the family's 1533-position model. The record is from RNAcentral.